RNAcentral lists this ribosomal RNA (253 nucleotides) under uncultured bacterium. RNAcentral's name for it is "partial 16S ribosomal RNA". It matches the Rfam family "Bacterial small subunit ribosomal RNA", at positions 524 to 776 of the family's 1533-position model. The record is from RNAcentral.
GACGAACCGUGCGAACGUUGUUCGGAAUUACUGGGCGUAAAGCGUGCGCAGGCGGUUUUGUAAGUCUGUCGUGAAAUCCCCGGGCUCAACCUGGGAAUUGCGAUGGAGACUGCAAGGCUAGAAUCUGGCAGAGGGGGGUAGAAUUCCACGUGUAGCAGUGAAAUGCGUAGAGAUGUGGAGGAACACCGAUGGCGAAGGCAGCCUUCUGGGCCAACACUGACGCUCAUGCACGAAAGCGUGGGGAGCAAACAGG